UUUAUGGGCUUUCCAUUUCCUCAUAAGCAAACCGUUCUCCAAAUAAAAUAGUCGUAGCAUCGCUAGUGGCUACUGUCGGAGACCCUACCUGCCACACAGGCAGCUUAGCCGAACGCUUUUCGGGAUCGAACAGGAGAAAUAUCCACAAUAUCUCCGGUUCUACGUGCCUGAGCACGAGUUAGCACACAGGUCGGAUAUAUUUGGGUAUCCGUAUUAGGAAUGAAACACGGGUCAGGUCGGACAUUACGCCGACACGAACACGGCCAGUAAUCAAAUCAGAAGACAGGUGGAUCCAAUGUAGAGGCACUGAGACUGUACCCAUCUUGAUUCCUGUUAGUAGUACAUGAGAUCUACAAUACGAUUCAGAAACCCAACCCGUUGACCCAAACGGA
Molecule: long non-coding RNA, 392 nt
Organism: Gasterosteus aculeatus aculeatus (three-spined stickleback)
Lineage: Eukaryota; Metazoa; Chordata; Actinopteri; Perciformes; Gasterosteidae
Source: Ensembl